UUUGUCCUUAACCCGAUAGGAUAAACCAGUUUAGGUCAGGCCAAACUAGUUGAUCCUGAUAUAAAUACGCACACUUUAGGAUAAACUGGUAUGGCCUAGUCUAAACAGUCUAAAAAAAUUUCGGGACAGGACGUUAGCCGAAACAUCAAAAAAACAUGCCAAUAUCACAAAAGAAAUGAUAAGCUUGUAUUUAUCUAUGUGUAGUGUCUGUCAUCAAAAUAAAA
Molecule: unclassified non-coding RNA, 224 nt
Filed under: Melitaea cinxia (Glanville fritillary)
Lineage: Eukaryota; Metazoa; Arthropoda; Insecta; Lepidoptera; Nymphalidae
Description: misc RNA ENSMCXG00005011428.1
Source: RNAcentral